Molecule: ribosomal RNA, 406 nt
Filed under: uncultured bacterium
Lineage: Bacteria
Description: partial 16S ribosomal RNA
Rfam family: Bacterial small subunit ribosomal RNA
Source: RNAcentral
AUUGAACGCUGGCGGCAGGCCUAACACAUGCAAGUCGAGCGAGCGGCGGACGGUUUAGUAAUGUCUUGGAAACUGCCUGAUGGAGGGGGAUAACUACUGGAAACGGUAGCUAAUACCGCAUACCAUCAGAUGUGCCCAGAUGGGAUUAGCUAGUAGGUGGGGUAAUGGCUCACCUAGGCGACGAUCCCUAGCUGGUCUGAGAGGAUGACCAGCCACACUGGAACUGAGACAUGGUCCAGACGCCUACGGGAGGCAGCAGUGGGGAAUAUUGCACAAUGGGCGCAAGCCUGAUGCAGCCAUGCCGCGUGUGUGAAGAAGGCCUUAGGGUUGUAAAGUACUUUCAGCGGGGAGGCGUUACCCGCAGAAGAAGCACCGGCUAACUCCGUGCCAGCAGCCGCGGUAAUAC